Molecule: microRNA precursor, 179 nt
Filed under: Oryza nivara
Lineage: Eukaryota; Viridiplantae; Streptophyta; Magnoliopsida; Poales; Poaceae
Description: MIR812 microRNA precursor family
Rfam family: MIR812 microRNA precursor family
Source: Rfam by way of RNAcentral
AAAAAGACAAAUCCUGAGUUUCCAUGUCCAAUGUUUGACUGUUCGUCUUAUAUGAAUUUUUUUUAUAAUUAGUAUUUUUUAUUGUUAUUAGAUGAUGAAAUAUAAUUAAUACUUUUUGUCUUUUUAAUUUUUUUUAUAUAUUUUUUUAAAUAAGACGGACGAUCGACAUGAAACCCAAG